CAGUCGCCGCGGUAAUACGUAGGUCCCGAGCGUUGUCCGGAUUUAUUGGGCGUAAAGCGAGCGCAGGCGGUUAGAUAAGUCUGAAGUUAAAGGCUGUGGCUUAACCAUAGUACGCUUUGGAAACUGUUUAACUUGAGUGCAAGAGGGGAGAGUGGAAUUCCAUGUGUGGCGGUGAAAUGCGUAGAUAUAUGGAGGAACACCGGUGGCGAAAGCGGCUCUCUGGCUUGUAACUGACGCUGAGGCUCGAAAGCGUGGGGCGCAAACAGGAUUAGAUACCCCCGUAGUCCCUGUCUCUUAUACC
This 301-nucleotide ribosomal RNA is filed under the name uncultured bacterium. RNAcentral's name for it is "partial 16S ribosomal RNA". It matches the Rfam family "Bacterial small subunit ribosomal RNA", at positions 509 to 808 of the family's 1533-position model. The record is from RNAcentral.